Molecule: long non-coding RNA, 2773 nt
Filed under: Homo sapiens (human)
Lineage: Eukaryota; Metazoa; Chordata; Mammalia; Primates; Hominidae
Description: HSALNT0328746
Source: RNAcentral
CCAGUCCAUAAUUUAGCAACCUUUGCUAAGGUAACCUUUAUUCUUAUUUGCCAUUAUCAAACACAAAUACUUACACCAAUAGAGUUCAGACUACUUCUUCAACUAAAUUGUAAUGUUCCAAUGACAGGUUAAUCAUUUACUCUACUGGAUGUUUACUAUGUGUUGAAUUCUCAGCCAAGCCUCACGAAUAAAAAGAGCAAACAUGCAGACAAAUAGUUAUAAUAUAGUUCCAAUAAGUACAGAAUUUGGAAUAUGUACAAGAUAUCUUGAUGGACCAGAGAAGGGAGUAGACAACUGUUCCUGAGGGAAAUCUGGGAAGGGUUCAUGGAGCUGGCAAUUUCUGAGGCUUUAUGUUGCCUGUAUUCUGAGCAACGAAUGAUUGAAAACAGCGAGGAAUUCUGGAGAUAGACAUCGGAACACCUCUUCUUAGAAGAUCACAUUAUUCAGAAUCCUUAAUGAUUCUUACCUUUUGAAUGACAGAUUUUUAGUGGACAUAAAAACUGCUAAUGAAAGUAGGAUGGUUAGAACUGUUGACAUUUUACGUGAAGGCAUUGCAACUGGGCAAAACAUAUUCAAAACAUCAGGUAGUAUUUUGUUCACUGUGCACCGAAGGCAGAUGACUUCAUUAACUGGUGACAAUUUUACCAAUCCUGGAAGCUUUGAUCUUGAGGGGAAACGAUCCUGCAUAGUAGACAAGUUUAUUGGCAAUAGAUGACCUGGUAGUAAACAGUGGAGUUCACAGCUGAAACUGCACCCUGUGCCCGCCCUUUCCCAACAUGCUGUGAUGCAUUUUGAGCUCUUCCAUUUUAGCUUCCAUUAUCCACCACCCAAGUUCUCAAUUCAAUUUCAGACUCGGGCAAAAGCCUGUAAUUCUAUUUGUUUUGGGUAAAUUUAGCAAGCUGCUCCUGAUUACACCUUAGCCAGAGACCAUCUGUUGACUGGCGUGCCUCUCUGAGGAGUGGUUCCUGUAGGCAAUGAAUGGGAAGAGGGUUGGAGUGCUGCUGCUAUUAGUAAGCAGAUGCACCGUAUCAGAGAUAGUCCUUCCCGCCUUUCAAUCUGCCAGCUCUCUGUAUUGAUGGAGUGUCGUAUGCCUGCGAGUCGUUCCAUCCUGAGGCAAUGAGAAGUGCUCUCCUAGGGUCCAUUUAUCAAGUGCUUCUACUGGCAUUUGAUGGAAAGGAAUUUAGAAGUCAUAGUUUGAUACACUUCGAGCACGGCCACGUUCUCCUUUGCACGUCCUGAGUAUGUAUGUAUGUGUGUGUAUAUAUCAACCCCAUGUACAUGCUUUUCAGCAGUUAUGUGCUGUCAAAAGCCCCACAGAUGAAACAACAAGAUACAGCUGUGCUUCGUAAUGUAAUGAGUAAACCGCCACAGCAAUUGUGUCAGGAUCACAAUUCUUUAAGGCACUGCUUCCUAAAAUGAUUGCCGGUUCAUUUGCAUCAGAUAGGGAAGAUGUGCUAGAUAAAUUCAGAAUGUCGAGGAACAGUUUGAUGUUGACUGUGGCAUGAUGAGGGAUCUUUCUAAAUGAUGAUACUGUUAGCUCGUGGCUAAGACGAGACUGGUCUAAACACAACAGAGACGGCAGUUUCCUGUUGCAGUGAGUCAUGAGAGGAAAUGGAUAAAAUGAACAUAAAUUAACUGCAUUUCGUUUUCUAAGAGUUGGAGAGGGAAGGGAAGGAGGCAGUGGAUGGCCAGUGUGCCUGAAAACUGGAAUUAGAUCGGUGAACUGAGAGGAUUGGUUUCUGCCCUACGUUGGGUGAAGAGGGGCAGUCCUCAUUGCUAACAGCCGCAGGUUGGUGUAAUUAACUAACUUCCGUAGGCAAUGCCCGGUGUACAUCUUGAAAACCCAUCAGAUGGGGUAUUUCUCACUGACAUCAGCUUUUAAAGGGAGGAGGGCUCAUAGUUGUAUCACAGCUGCAGUACUUUUCUUUAAGGCAAGAAACAGUUUAAAUCAGAGAAAAUUUCACAGGAUUCUAGAUCGACUACUUUUUUCAUCUAGUUCUAUUAUUUUGACCUUAUGGCCGUUUUUUGUUUGUUUAAUGGCGUGAAUUAAAGUGUGACAUUUCUGUCCAUCUUUUCACGUACAAAAUCAGCAUUCGUUAAUUCAGGUUAUGAAAAUAAUUGCUGCUUCAACAAAGUGAGGCUUAAAAUACCACAACAGAAAUGUAGCCGAUAGUAUGUAUCUUAACUUUUAGUUUAUAAUGACUGUAUUAAAAUGAUAUUACAGUUUUAAGUUUUUCAAACAAAUAGUGAAUGGUUGUGCAAAAUAAGACACUGAAAUAUUUUUUAAAGAAUUAAAAUCACAAAUGUUGAAUGAGAAAAAUAGUUUCUGAGAAUUUCUUUGCUAAAUCAGGGCAAUUUGGUUUAUUGCCAAACUGAUUAAGGAGGGGCUGAUUUCAUAAGCUAUAAUAUCUGUACUUUUAUGUCAUCUCUGAUAUAACAGUAUAUAAUGUAUUUAAGACUGCAGAUCAUCAUUAAACCACAUAAUGAUUGUUACACAGAUAAAAUAAGAAGCUUAAUUUGUAGCUAAAGACUGUAUCUUAUUGAUUGUAUAGUUGAUGUUGUGUUGUGCAGGAGGUAAGAAAUAUCCUAAGUAAGAAACAGAAUAUUUUAAAAAAAUAUUUACAAAAUCAUAUAGUUGAGUCAAUAUCUAUAAGUGAGGCUUAAUCCAUGCAAAUAAAUUGUUUUAACAAGGGCCUGUGGCUUUAAGAAUGACACUUGAUCUAUAUGCUGUAGAAGGCUUGUAGAAGUUGUCCUCAUAUUAGUUUAUACUAUG